UGACAAUGGAGAGGUUUGGGUUUGUUAUUUAUGUAACAUUGAAUGUGUAGGGUACAGUAAGAGUGUUGAAUGUGUAGAGUAAGAUAAGAGUGUUGAAUGUGUAGGGUUCAGUUAGAGUGUUGAAUGUGUAGGGUUCAGUAAGAGUGUUGAAUGUGUAGGGUACAGUUAGAGUGUUGAAUGUGUAGAGUAAGAGUGUUGAAUGUGUAGGGUUCAGUUAGAGUGUUGAAUGUGUAGGGUUCAGUUAGAGUGUUGAAUGUGUAGGGUACAGUUAGAGUGUUGAAUGUGUAGAGUAAGAGUGUUGAAUGUGUAGGGUACAGUAAGAGUGUUGAAUGUGUAGAGUAAGAUAAGAGUGUUGAAUGUGUAGGGUUCAGUUAGAGUGUUGAAUGUGUAGGGUUCAGUUAGAGUGUUGAAUGUGUAGGGUUCAGUAAGAGUGUUGAAUGUGUAGGGUUCAGUAAGGUAUUCUGCCUUCC
Molecule: long non-coding RNA, 470 nt
Organism: Clupea harengus (Atlantic herring)
Lineage: Eukaryota; Metazoa; Chordata; Actinopteri; Clupeiformes; Clupeidae
Source: Ensembl